UUCACGGAGAGUUUGAUCCUGGCUCAGGACGAACGCUGGCGGCGUGCUUAACACAUGCAAGUCGAACGAUGAACCACUUCGGUG
Molecule: non-coding RNA, 84 nt
Filed under: Streptomyces albogriseolus
Lineage: Bacteria; Bacillati; Actinomycetota; Actinomycetes; Kitasatosporales; Streptomycetaceae
Also listed under: 29 other names
Description: partial 16S ribosomal RNA
Rfam family: Bacterial small subunit ribosomal RNA
Source: RNAcentral